AUUGAACGCUGGCGGCAUGCUUUACACAUGCAAGUCGAACGGGCUUGGGGGCUUGCUCCCAAGUUAGUGGCGAACGGGUGAGUAAUACAUCGGAACGUACCGUGUAGUGGGGGAUAACGUAGCGAAAGUUACGCUAAUACCGCAUACAAUCUACGGAUGAAAGCAGGGGACCUUCGGGCCUUGUGCUAUACGAGCGGCCGAUGUCUGAUUAGCUAGUUGGUGAGGUAAAGGCUCACCAAGGCGACGAUCAGUAGCGGGUCUGAGAGGAUGAUCCGCCACACUGGGACUGAGACACGGCCCAGACUCCUACGGGAGGCAGCAGUGGGGAAUUUUGGACAAUGGGCGAAAGCCUGAUCCAGCCAUGCCGCGUGUCUGAAGAAGGCCUUCGGUUGUAAGGAACUUUUGUUCAGGGAGGCAAACUUAACUGGUUAAUACCCGGUGAGGCUGAGAGUACCUGAAGAAUAAG
RNAcentral lists this ribosomal RNA (466 nucleotides) under uncultured bacterium. Its description in RNAcentral is "bacterial SSU rRNA". It matches the Rfam family "Bacterial small subunit ribosomal RNA", at positions 30 to 490 of the family's 1533-position model. The record is from RNAcentral.